GGGGAAUUAGCUCAAAUGGUAGAGUGCUUGCUUAGCAUGUGAGAGGUUCUGGGAUCGAUGCCCACAUUCUCCA
RNAcentral lists this transfer RNA (73 nucleotides) under Salmo salar (Atlantic salmon). It matches the Rfam family "tRNA". From Rfam's summary of the family: Transfer RNA (tRNA) molecules are approximately 80 nucleotides in length. Their secondary structure includes four short double-helical elements and three loops (D, anti-codon, and T loops). The record is from Rfam by way of RNAcentral. Lineage: Eukaryota; Metazoa; Chordata; Actinopteri; Salmoniformes; Salmonidae.